ACGCUCGACACCUACGGGACAGCAGUGGGGAAUAUUGCACAAUGGGGGAAACCCUGAUGCAGCGACGCCGCGUGAGUGAAGAAGUAUUUCGGUAUGUAAAGCUCUAUCAGCAGGGAAGAAAAUGACGGUACCUGACUAAGAAGCCCCGGCUAACUACGUGCCAACAGCCGCGGUAAUCUGAGCGGGCUGGCAAGGC
This 196-nucleotide ribosomal RNA is filed under the name uncultured bacterium. RNAcentral's name for it is "partial 16S ribosomal RNA". It matches the Rfam family "Bacterial small subunit ribosomal RNA", at positions 326 to 539 of the family's 1533-position model. The record is from RNAcentral.